RNAcentral lists this long non-coding RNA (317 nucleotides) under Sorghum bicolor (sorghum). RNAcentral's name for it is "long non-coding RNA (SBIC_LNC007636)". Lineage: Eukaryota; Viridiplantae; Streptophyta; Magnoliopsida; Poales; Poaceae. The record is from RNAcentral.
UUGCAUGUUUUCUUAUUGUAUUUUUUUAAUAUUUAUAUUGUCCUGUUGAACGAUCUGACGCUAUAAAUACAUAAUUGCUGGAUGAUCUGUCGGUAUGUGCUUGGUAAUGGAUCAUUUGUCGCUGAAACUUGGCAACAGACUAUCUGUCACUAUAGAUUUUCAGAGCGUCAGAUGAUCUGUCGCUCAAGGUACUAUGUGACGUUAAAGAUUUUUACCGGUAGGACUUACACCGGCAGCAGAAGUCUGUCGCUAUAGGAUUUUAGUGUCAGAUCGUUUGCCCCCGUAACCGCUUUUGCCGUCAGAUCAUCCAUUGCUAG